AUGGCUGAAUGGUUAAAGCGCCCAACUCAUAAUUGGCGAAGUCGAUUAACUAGGACAGAAAGAAAACAUUGGGUCGAACUCUUCUUUGGUGUCAAGGUAAGAACUAUGAAUCAACUCGCAAUCCCAAUAAAGGGUAGAAGAAUACGACCUAUUAUGGGACAUACAAGGCAUUACAAACGUAUGAUCAUUACGCUUCAACCGGGUUAUUCUAUUCCACCUCUUAGAAAGAAAAUAACUUAA
This 240-nucleotide long non-coding RNA is filed under the name Vicia faba (fava bean). Lineage: Eukaryota; Viridiplantae; Streptophyta; Magnoliopsida; Fabales; Fabaceae. The record is from RNAcentral.